CUGCAGAAGCAAGAACGAAAGUGUCCAUAUAUGCAACUGACUAGGAGAUCUAACUGAUGAAAGAAGAAAAUAGGAAUCAGGGAAAUUCAUGUUACUAUCCUUGCCUAAGACUUCUCUCUGAUUAGAGAGGUUCAGAUAUGGAGCACACAAGCGAAAUUAAGAAAAACUUUGAUUGAUAUUCUUAAUAUGGUAACAGUUGGGGGCGUCAAUAAUUCCCACUUCAUUUUGUCAUGUGUUAACACAUCAACCUUGUGAUCCUCCUCAUCUUCUUCCUAGAGAAUGUUUGGACUACCCUAUUGUUAACCUGCAAUGUCAGAUAUUGCAGGCUCUAUUAUGAAGAUAUGCUCUUUUUCUGUGGAUGUUCAUAGACUUAUUCAAACUC
Molecule: long non-coding RNA, 382 nt
Organism: Panicum virgatum (switchgrass)
Lineage: Eukaryota; Viridiplantae; Streptophyta; Magnoliopsida; Poales; Poaceae
Exons: 3
Source: RefSeq, a predicted model, not a curated record